CGUGCAAGUGGACGGUAGCACAGAGAGCUUGCUCUCGGGUGACGAGUGGCGGACGGGUGAGUAAUGUCUGGGAAACUGCCUGAUGGAGGGGGAUAACUACUGGAAACGGUAGCUAAUACCGCAUAACGUCGCAAGACCAAAGAGGGGGACUUCGGGCCUCUUGCCAUCAGAUGUGCCCAGAUGGGAUUAGCUAGUAGGUGGGGUAACGGCUCACCUAGGCGACGAUCCCUAGCUGGUCUGAGAGGAUGACCAGCCACACUGGAACUGAGACACGGUCCAGACUCCUACGGGAGGCAGCAGUGGGGAAUAUUGCACAAUGGGCGCAACGUGAUGCAGCCAUGCCGCGUGUAUGAAGAAGGCCUUCGGGUUGUAAAGUACUUUCAGCGGGGAGGAAGGCGAUACGGUUAAUAACCGUGUUGAUUGACGUUACCCGCAGAAGAAGCACCGGCUAACUCCGUGCCAGCAGCCGCGGUAAUACGGAGGGUGCGAGCGUUAAUCGGAAUUACUGGGCGUAAAGCGCACGCAGGCGGUCUGUCAAGUCGGAUGUGAAAUCCCCGGGCUCAACCUGGGAACUGCAUCCGAAACUGGCAG
This 591-nucleotide ribosomal RNA is filed under the name Enterobacter sp. gx-208. RNAcentral's name for it is "bacterial SSU rRNA". It matches the Rfam family "Bacterial small subunit ribosomal RNA", at positions 54 to 639 of the family's 1533-position model. The record is from RNAcentral. Lineage: Bacteria; Pseudomonadati; Pseudomonadota; Gammaproteobacteria; Enterobacterales; Enterobacteriaceae.